Molecule: ribosomal RNA, 433 nt
Filed under: uncultured bacterium
Lineage: Bacteria
Description: partial 16S ribosomal RNA
Rfam family: Bacterial small subunit ribosomal RNA
Source: RNAcentral
AACGAACGCUGGCGGCAUGCCUAACACAUGCCAGUCGAACGAGACCUCCGGGUCUAGUGGCGCACGGGUGCGUAACGCGUGGGAACCUGCCCUUAGGUUCGGAAUAACUCCCUGAAAGGGGUGCUAAUACCGGAUAAUGUCUUCGGACCAAAGAUUUAUCGCCUUUGGAUGGGCCCGCGUUGGAUUAGCUAGUUGGUAGGGUAAAAGCCUACCAAGGCGACGAUCCAUAGCUGGUCUGAGAGGAUGACCAGCCACACUGGGACUGAGACACGGCCCAGACUCCUAGGGGAGGCAGCAGUGGGGAAUAUUGGACAAUGGGCGAAAGCCUGAUCCAGCAAUGCCGCGUGAGUGAUGAAGGCCUUAGGGUUGUAAAGCUCUUUUACCCGGGAUGAUAAUGACAGUACCGGGAGAAUAAGCACCGGCUAACUCCGUG